UACGUAGGGUGCAAGCGUUGUCCGGAAUUAUUGGGCGUAAAGAGCUCGUAGGCGGUUUGUCGCGUCGAAUGUGAAAACCCGGGGCUCAACCCCGGGCCUGCAUUCGAUACGGGCAGACUAGAGUUCGGUAGGGGAGUCUGGAAUUCCUGGUGUAGCGGUGAAAUGCGCAGAUAUCAGGAGGAACACCGGUGGCGAAGGCGGGACUCUGGGCCGAUACUGACGCUGAGGAGCGAAAGCGUGGGGAUCAAACAGG
This 253-nucleotide ribosomal RNA is filed under the name uncultured bacterium. RNAcentral describes it as "partial 16S ribosomal RNA". It matches the Rfam family "Bacterial small subunit ribosomal RNA", at positions 524 to 776 of the family's 1533-position model. The record is from RNAcentral.